Non-coding RNA from Podospora fimiseda, 102 nucleotides. The record is from the annotation of a GenBank genome assembly. NCBI's taxonomy places the organism in Eukaryota, Fungi, Ascomycota, Sordariomycetes, Sordariales, Podosporaceae.
GUCCUCGUAGCGCAGUGGUUAGCAUCUGAAGUUUCUUAGCGUUUGAUUUUCCCGAACCACCUAAGACACCAGGAGACGUCGGUUCGAACCCGACCAGGGAUA